GAUGAAGAACGCAGCGAAAUGCGAUAAGUAAUGUGAAUUGCAGAAUUCAGUGAAUCAUCGAAUCUUUGAACGCACCUUGCGCCCUUUGGACAUUCCGAAGGGCAUGCCUGUUUGAGUAUCAUGAACACCUCAACUCUCACGGCUUGUCCGUGAUGAGCUUGGACUUUGGGGGUCUUGCCGGCCUGUGGUCGGCUCCUCUCAAAUGGAUCAGCUUGCCAGUGUUUGGUGGCAUCACAGGUGUGAUAACUAUCUGCGCUUGUGGUUUUCCAUCAUAUAACCUUCAGUGAUAUGGAGGUUCGCUGGAGCUCACAAAUGUCUCUCCUUAGUGAGGACAGCUCUUUGAACGUUUGAUCUCAAAUCAGGUAGGACUACCCGCUGAACUUAAGCAUAUCAAUAAGCGGAGGA
RNAcentral lists this unclassified non-coding RNA (405 nucleotides) under soil metagenome. RNAcentral's name for it is "partial contains 5.8S ribosomal RNA, internal transcribed spacer 2, and large subunit ribosomal RNA". The stretch from base 1 to 121 matches the Rfam family "5.8S ribosomal RNA", at positions 35 to 154 of the family's 154-position model. The record is from RNAcentral.